AAAACAACAACAAAAAAUGUCACUGUCCCAAUACUUUUGGAGUUCACUGUAUUUACGCAUUUGAGAUAAAGCACACAUUUCUUUGGGCGAUGAACCUCUAGAAGGUACUACUUGUCUUACAAGAAUCUCUCAGUGGAUUCUGCAGAGGCUUGAGAGGGUGUCAGUUGUGAGGCUUGGAGGUUCUCAAUUUUGAGGCUUGGAGGGUGUCAGUUGUGAGGCGUGGAGUGUGUCAAUUGAGAGGCUUGGAGGGUGUCAGUUGUGAGGCGUGGAGUGUGCCAGUUGUGAGGCGUGGAGUGUGCCAGUUGUGAGGCGUGGAGUGUGUCAGUUGAGAGGCUUGGAGGGUGUCAGUUGAGAGGCUUGGAGGGUGUCAGUUGUGAGGCGGGGAGUGUGUCAGUUGUGAGGCGUGGAGUGUGUCAGUUGUGAGGCGUGGAGUGUGCCAGUUGUGAGGCGUGGAGUGUGUCAGUUGAGAGGCUUGGACGCUGUCAGUUGAGAGGCUUGGAGGGUGUCAGUUGAGAGGCGUGGAGUGUGUCAGUUGUGAGGCGUGGAGUGUGUCAGUUGAGAGGCUUGGACGCUGUCAGUUGAGAGGCUUGGAGGGUGUCAGUUGAGAGGCGUGGAGUGUGUCAGUUGUGAGGCGUGGAGUGUGCCAGUUGUGAGGCGGGGAGUGUGUCAGUUGUGAGGCGGGGAGUGUGCAAGUUGUGAGGCGUGGAGUGUGUAGGUUGUGAGGCGGGGAGUGUGCCAGUUGUGAGGCGGGGAGUGUGCCAGUUGAACUUUUUGAAACACAGUGUGUGAACUGCCAAAGAUACAGUGUUUGGAAUGCUGAAUAUAGAAUAGUCAACUCACCACUAUAAGUUAACACACAGAGGAACUAGUUAUGAAAUGACAAUAUUGGUUUACUAAUAAUAUCUUGGUCUUAUAUUUUAAGGAUUUUAAGAAUGCUGAAGCAUAUCACUCUUUGUCAUGUCUAAGGAUACGUUGGAAGUACAGUAUAUUAAGGCAUUUUUUAAGUUUAAUGAUUCAUUCCGUUAAAUAGUUAUGUUUGUAUGCCUGUGGGUUGUUUUUUAAACUGCUGUGAUUGAUUCAGCUGUGCUUGAGCUUGUAAAAGUCCUUUUAAUAAAAAGAGAAUGGUUUAUGAUGAAUUGUUUCUUUAGAAAUGUUUUUUUAGCAAUGUCUGUAAUUAAGUAAUGUACCAUGAUAAACAUUUUAUUUAAAUCUGCUUUUGUUUUUACAGCCACCUGAAUCUUCAAAAUAAUUCCUCCAACUAGCACAGAAUUCCUAUGAAAUAAGAUUGUAUUUGUCACAUACAAUACAACAGGUGUAGACUAUACCAUGAAAUGCUUAUUUACGAUCCC
This is a long non-coding RNA of Oncorhynchus tshawytscha (Chinook salmon), 1349 nucleotides long. The record is from Ensembl. NCBI's taxonomy places the organism in Eukaryota, Metazoa, Chordata, Actinopteri, Salmoniformes, Salmonidae.